GAGGCUAUAGCUCAGGGGUAGGGUGUAUGCCUGGCAGGCACAAGGUCAUGGGUUCAAUCCCCAGUAACUCCA
Molecule: transfer RNA, 72 nt
Filed under: Camelus bactrianus (Bactrian camel)
Lineage: Eukaryota; Metazoa; Chordata; Mammalia; Artiodactyla; Camelidae
Also listed under: 2 other names
Rfam family: tRNA
About the family: Transfer RNA (tRNA) molecules are approximately 80 nucleotides in length. Their secondary structure includes four short double-helical elements and three loops (D, anti-codon, and T loops). Further hydrogen bonds mediate the characteristic L-shaped molecular structure. tRNAs have two regions of fundamental functional importance: the anti-codon, which is responsible for specific mRNA codon recognition, and the 3' end, to which the tRNAs corresponding amino acid is attached (by aminoacyl-tRNA synthetases). tRNAs cope with the degeneracy of the genetic code in two manners: having more than one tRNA (with a specific anti-codon) for a particular amino acid; and 'wobble' base-pairing, i.e. permitting non-standard base-pairing at the 3rd anti-codon position.
Source: Rfam by way of RNAcentral